Homalodisca vitripennis (glassy-winged sharpshooter) is the source of this 503-nucleotide long non-coding RNA. RefSeq lists it as uncharacterized. The transcript is spliced from 3 exons. The record is from RefSeq and is a predicted model, not a curated record. NCBI's taxonomy places the organism in Eukaryota, Metazoa, Arthropoda, Insecta, Hemiptera, Cicadellidae.
ACAAAACGAAUGAUUUUCAUCUCCUAUAUUUAUUCUUUCUAACUUUAGUUAACCUAGCUUUUUAGGAACGAAAUUAUUUCGUAUUAAAAAAAUAAAAGUUGUAGCUAUAUUUUUUUUCCUGACAUUGUAACACAACUCUACUAUAAUAAAUUGACGCUGAAAGUUUUACUUCAUUUUGUUUCUUUAUACCACUUAUUAUGAAUUAGGUUUAUGCACAAUCUCGUUCUUUUUUAACUUAUUAAAAAAAUUUUUUAGACGUGCAUAAUGUUUUCAGUGCGGAUGCCACCAUGACAUCAGACAAUGUGUCAAACUAAUGGAUGGCAGAGUAGACCAAGAAAAGGACCAAAGACAAAUGCGGAUGCCACCAUGACAUCAGACAAUGUGUCAAACUAAUGGAUGGCAGAGCAGACCAAGAAAAUGAAACAAAGUCAAAUGCGGAUGCCACCAUGACAUCAGACAAUGUGUCAAACUAAUGGAUGGCAGAGCAGACCAAGAAAAUGAGC